AUAUUGACAGACGCUUUAAACCUGCCAUGAAGAAAACAACAGACGGUGUCCAAACUGACAACAAAAUUCACGAUACAGAGGAUAAAACGAGAAGCCAUCGUGUUUCCAGCGUACUUGCAGAUUACUGACUACAAAACACUUUUCCAGAUGUUACAGAAGGAAGCUCUCCUGUCAUAAUCAUUUUCUGCGUCACUGGAAAAUCUACAUUCUUGAUGUUGGGUUCAUCGAUAUACAGUCAAACACAAACAGCUGGAAUGUGUGCAGAAAUACUUUCAUAUUUACAUGUGUGAGAGAUAAAUGUUGUAAAGUUAUAUCUCAUAAUAAUUCAUUGUCUUUGUUUAACCUCUGUUUACAAAAUAAAACCAGUAUUGAACUACUU
This 379-nucleotide long non-coding RNA is filed under the name Danio rerio (zebrafish). Its description in RNAcentral is "uncharacterized LOC103909619 (LOC103909619)". The record is from RNAcentral. Lineage: Eukaryota; Metazoa; Chordata; Actinopteri; Cypriniformes; Danionidae.